Non-coding RNA from Caenorhabditis elegans, 21 nucleotides. The record is from Ensembl. Lineage: Eukaryota; Metazoa; Nematoda; Chromadorea; Rhabditida; Rhabditidae.
UGGCAGGUUCUGAUUUUAAUC